RNAcentral lists this ribosomal RNA (611 nucleotides) under Escherichia coli. RNAcentral's name for it is "bacterial SSU rRNA". It matches the Rfam family "Bacterial small subunit ribosomal RNA", at positions 1 to 601 of the family's 1533-position model. The record is from RNAcentral. Lineage: Bacteria; Pseudomonadati; Pseudomonadota; Gammaproteobacteria; Enterobacterales; Enterobacteriaceae.
AAAUUGAAGAGUUUGAUCAUGGCUCAGAUUGAACGCUGGCGGCAGGCCUAACACAUGCAAGUCGAACGGUAACAGGAAGAAGCUUGCUUCUUUGCUGACGAGUGGCGGACGGGUGAGUAAUGUCUGGGAAACUGCCUGAUGGAGGGGGAUAACUACUGGAAACGGUAGCUAAUACCGCAUAACGUCGCAAGACCAAAGAGGGGGACCUUCGGGCCUCUUGCCAUCGGAUGUGCCCAGAUGGGAUUAGCUAGUAGGUGGGGUAACGGCUCACCUAGGCGACGAUCCCUAGCUGGUCUGAGAGGAUGACCAGCCACACUGGAACUGAGACACGGUCCAGACUCCUACGGGAGGCAGCAGUGGGGAAUAUUGCACAAUGGGCGCAAGCCUGAUGCAGCCAUGCCGCGUGUAUGAAGAAGGCCUUCGGGUUGUAAAGUACUUUCAGCGGGGAGGAAGGGAGUAAAGUUAAUACCUUUGCUCAUUGACGUUACCCGCAGAAGAAGCACCGGCUAACUCCGUGCCAGCAGCCGCGGUAAUACGGAGGGUGCAAGCGUUAAUCGGAAUUACUGGGCGUAAAGCGCACGCAGGCGGUUUGUUAAGUCAGAUGUGAAAUC